GGCUGAUCUGAGUGCAGUGGUGUUUACAACUAAUUGAUCACAACUGGUUACAGAAUCUUUUGUUCCUUCUCUACUUACACUGCUUCACUUGAUUAGCCUUUA
Molecule: Y RNA, 102 nt
Filed under: Microcebus murinus (gray mouse lemur)
Lineage: Eukaryota; Metazoa; Chordata; Mammalia; Primates; Cheirogaleidae
Description: Y RNA (ENSMICG00000046394.1)
Rfam family: Y RNA
About the family: Y RNAs are components of the Ro ribonucleoprotein particle (Ro RNP), in association with Ro60 and La proteins.
Source: Rfam by way of RNAcentral